Long non-coding RNA from Gasterosteus aculeatus aculeatus (three-spined stickleback), 610 nucleotides. The record is from Ensembl. NCBI's taxonomy places the organism in Eukaryota, Metazoa, Chordata, Actinopteri, Perciformes, Gasterosteidae.
AAGAGCUAUGGACGAAUGGACUCCACUCUAACCUCACCUAAACUGUGCCGGGCUACCUUUUUGUAUUUUUACAUGAGAAUCAGGAAAAGAUACUGUGGUGGCGGGUUGUGGUUAGCUCAUCUGCAGAGGGGAGAGUGGGGGAGUGGUUCAGAGAACAGUGCCGGCAGCUUUAUCUGCUCCGGUAGCCACAGCAACAACCCAUUCUCCAAGAGACCACACCAGAGGUAAUAUUGCUGCUGUGUCCACUGGAACUGCUCUCCAUCGCCGCCCGCUCUUCUCUCAUCAGCGGGAUUAUAAAUCAUUCCUUCAGCUUCACUCCUACUUUGGCUUAGCUGAUGAGAAACUUUGACGCAUUGACUUUACUUCUUCUCGAGAAGCACGUUAUUCUGUAAUUGGAUGUUGGUUAAGCAUUAGAGCAAGAAAAAUGUAUCUGUUUUUAUAUUUCUUCAAUUGAAGCUUGUAUUAUAAGAGAAAUAAAUUGCUUUUAUAAUUAUUAAUGGACUGUGUAUUUUCAAGAUCACUGUGGCCAACAGAUUAUGCAAAACGAAGAAUAUCCUCAGUGAACCUCGUCAAUGAAACUGACAUGGCAUUUCAUUUUCUCAUUUAAAUC